Molecule: ribosomal RNA, 164 nt
Filed under: uncultured bacterium
Lineage: Bacteria
Description: partial 16S rRNA
Rfam family: Bacterial small subunit ribosomal RNA
Source: RNAcentral
UAGGGAAUCUUUCCGCAAUGGGCGAAAGCCUGAUGGAGCAACGCCGCGUGUGUGAUGAAGGGUUUCGGCUCGUAAACUCUGUUGUUAAAGAAGAACAUAUCUGAGAGUAACUGUUCAGGUAUUGACGGUAUUUAACCAGAAAGCCACGGCUAACUACGUGCUAG